Molecule: ribosomal RNA, 584 nt
Filed under: uncultured beta proteobacterium
Lineage: Bacteria; Pseudomonadati; Pseudomonadota; Betaproteobacteria
Description: bacterial SSU rRNA
Rfam family: Bacterial small subunit ribosomal RNA
Source: RNAcentral
CCUACGGGAGGCAGCAGUGGGGAAUUUUGGACAAUGGGGGCAACCCUGAUCCAGCAAUGCCGCGUGAGUGAAGAAGGCCUUCGGGUUGUAAAGCUCUUUUGUCAGGGAAGAAACAGCAGCUCUAACACAGUCUGCGAAUGACGGUACCUGAAGAAUAAGCACCGGCUAACUACGUGCCAGCAGCCGCGGUAAUACGUAGGGUGCGAGCGUUAAUCGGAAUUACUGGGCGUAAAGCGUGCGCAGGCGGUUAUACAAGACAGGCGUGAAAUCCCCGGGCUUAACCUGGGAACUGCAUUUGUGACUGCAAGACUAGAGUGUGUCAGAGGGAGGUGGAAUUCCGCGUGUAGCAGUGAAAUGCGUAGAGAUGCGGAAGAACACCGAUGGCGAAGGCAGCCUCCUGGGAUAACACUGACGCUCAGGCACGAAAGCGUGGGGAGCAAACAGGAUUAGAUACCCUGGUAGUCCACGCCCUAAACGAUGUCAACUGGUUGUUGGGGAUUCAUUUCCUUAGUAACGUAGCUAACGCGUGAAGUUGACCGCCUGGGGAGUACGGCCGCAAGGUUAAAACUCAAAGGAAUUGACGG